CCAGACUCCUACGGGAGGCAGCAGUGAGGAAUAUUGGUCAAUGGCCGAAGGGCUGAACCAGCCAAGCCGCGUGAAGGAAUAAGGCCCUACGGGUCGUAAACUUCUUUAGUCAGGGAACAAAGGGUGCCACGCGUGGCGCUGUGAGUGUACCUGAAGAAUAAGCAUCGGCUAACUCCGUGCCAGCAGCCGCGGUAAUACGGAGGAUGCGAGCGUUAUCCGGAUUUAUUGGGUUUAAAGGGUGCGUAGGCGAAACAUUAAGUCAGCGGUAAAAUCGAGGGGCUCAACCCCUUUAAGCCGUUGAAACUGGUGAUCUUGAGUGGGCGAGAAGUAUGCGGAAUGCGUGGUGUAGCGGUGAAAUGCAUAGAUAUCACGCAGAACUCCGAUUGCGAAGGCAGCAUACCGGCGCCCAACUGACGCUGAAGCACGAAAGCGUGGGUAUCGAACAGGAUUAGAUACCCUAGUAAU
Molecule: ribosomal RNA, 465 nt
Filed under: uncultured bacterium
Lineage: Bacteria
Description: bacterial SSU rRNA
Rfam family: Bacterial small subunit ribosomal RNA
Source: RNAcentral